UACCAGCACCCCGAGUGGUCGGGACGAUUAUUGGGCCUAAAGCAUCCGUAGCCGGUCCUACAAGUCUUCCGUUAAAUCCACCUGCUUAACAGAUGGGCUGCGGAAGAUACUAUAGGGCUAGGAGGCGGGAGAGGCAAGCGGUACUCAGUGGGUAGGGGUAAAAUCCUCUGAUCCAUUGAAGACCACCAGUGGCGAAGGCGGCUUGCCAGAACGUGCUCGGCGGUGAGGGAUGAAAGCUGGGGGAGCAAACCGG
This 253-nucleotide ribosomal RNA is filed under the name uncultured bacterium. RNAcentral's name for it is "partial 16S ribosomal RNA". It matches the Rfam family "Archaeal small subunit ribosomal RNA", at positions 474 to 727 of the family's 1478-position model. The record is from RNAcentral.